AGUUGACCGGGAAAUAUGAUUGAAAAUCCAUAGAUUUUUGGUUGACCGGGAGAUCAACGGGGUGGUAUACCCAACGUACUGCACCGGACACAGCUCAUUUCUGGACCCUUGGCACAAGGGUACAGAUCACUAUUGCACACCAAUCUUUGUAAUCCCCUGCAAUAAAAAAAUUACCACAUGGUGUGUUGUUCAGUUCAGCAGUGGGGCAACUGAAAUUGUGCCAAACUCAUGGGUUGAAGGAGAUAAAGUCUUCUG
Molecule: long non-coding RNA, 255 nt
Organism: Cyprinus carpio (common carp)
Lineage: Eukaryota; Metazoa; Chordata; Actinopteri; Cypriniformes; Cyprinidae
Exons: 3
Source: RefSeq, a predicted model, not a curated record